Molecule: ribosomal RNA, 491 nt
Filed under: uncultured bacterium
Lineage: Bacteria
Description: partial 16S ribosomal RNA
Rfam family: Bacterial small subunit ribosomal RNA
Source: RNAcentral
AGUGAACGCUGGCGGUAGGCCUAACACAUGCAAGUCGAACGGCAGCACAGUAAGAGCUUGCUCUUACGGGUGGCGAGUGGCGGACGGGUGAGGAAUACAUCGGAAUCUACUUUUUCGUGGGGAUAACGUAGGGAAACUUACGCUAAUACCGCAUACGACCUACGGGUGAAAGCAGGGGAUCUUCGGACCUUGCGCGAUUGAAUGAGCCGAUGUCGGAUUAGCUAGUUGGCGGGGUAAAGGCCCACCAAGGCGACGAUCCGUAGCUGGUCUGAGAGGAUGAUCAGCCACACUGGAACUGAGACACGGUCCCGACUCCUACGGGAGGCAGCAGUGGGGAAUAUUGGACAAUGGGCGCAAGCCUGAUCCAGCCAUACCGCGUGGGUGAAGAAGGCCUUCGGGUUGUAAAGCCCUUUUGUUGGGAAAGAAAAGCAGCAGGUUAAUACCCCGCUGUUCUGACGGUACCCAAAGAAUAAGCACCGGCUAACUUCGUG